UACGGGGGAUGCAAGCGUUAUCCGGAAUGAUUGGGCGUAAAGCGUCCGCAGGCGGCCUUGAAAGUCUGUCGUUAAAGCGUGGAGCUUAACUCCAUUUCGGCGAUGGAAACUACAAGGCUAGAGUGUGGUAGGGGCAGAGGGAAUUCCCGGUGUAGCGGUGAAAUGCGUAGAUAUCGGGAAGAACACCAGUGGCGAAGGCGCUCUGCUGGGCCAUAACUGACGCUCAUGGACGAACGCCAGGGGAGCGAAAGGG
Molecule: ribosomal RNA, 253 nt
Filed under: uncultured bacterium
Lineage: Bacteria
Description: partial 16S ribosomal RNA
Rfam family: Bacterial small subunit ribosomal RNA
Source: RNAcentral